Molecule: ribosomal RNA, 243 nt
Filed under: Triticum aestivum (bread wheat)
Lineage: Eukaryota; Viridiplantae; Streptophyta; Magnoliopsida; Poales; Poaceae
Description: partial small subunit ribosomal RNA
Source: RNAcentral
AUGCCAGUCACACAAAGGUCGAGUCAGUCCAAUAUGGAAGUGAACUUAGAGAAUGCGGCACUCUGUUUUCUGAAUGCUGUGAACAGGGGCAGAACUGCUACUUGUUUGAUGAAUCAGAAAAGGGAGGUCACACUAACAGAAUGUAUUGCUCAAUGGAAUGUGACAUUAGCGAAUCAAAUGAAUCGAGUCCCAUUGGGAGCUCAGAAAGUCGCACUAAUGCUAAUGGUUGCUGCUGUCAAAUAG